Molecule: long non-coding RNA, 1165 nt
Filed under: Daphnia pulicaria
Lineage: Eukaryota; Metazoa; Arthropoda; Branchiopoda; Diplostraca; Daphniidae
Description: uncharacterized LOC124318951, transcript variant X2
Source: RNAcentral
AAGGUGGAUUCAGAGUUUCAGACCAUCAGUUCAUCAUCGUCUAGUGUACAAUUCAUAUCUUAUAGUAAUUUGUUCAAACGCCGUUUGAUGCUGAACACAUUUCCGUGGACAGGUCAUAUUCUUUAGGAAUGGAUUUUGUGCGAGGGAAACUGGGAAGAAAUUUAAAUUAUACUGCAACUCCUUCCUAUGAAAUGGAUCAACGGACCACAGUUACCAACAACAACAAAGGGAUCAGUUUGCAAAUGUUGUCUAGCUAAGCAGUUUUUCAAGAUCCAUUGAUGCACUAUUUGUUACUUUCCGGAGAUCACGAGUCGGCCGCAGGUGUCAAUCUACAACGCAGUUUCUUCAUUGAAAUUGUGUGGCCCUUGCACGGAGAUCCUUGAGCCAAUGCUAGCCUUUGUCCAUGACAGAAGAGUGACUUUCACCAACGUUCUGCCACAUCCUCAUCUUCGUGACGUACGCUCAUCCAGCUUCGCUGCUACUCGUGCUGCUACUCUUGCCACUACUCGUGCCACUACUCGUGCCACUACUCGUGCUACUACUCGUGCUACUACUCGUGCUACACAACCCAUCUCGUCUUCAAUGACGAGUUAAACCACUUCAAUGGUCGCUUCCGUCCACCGUGACCCACCUGAAGUCACUCACCACGGGAUUAUGCCCAGGAGAAAACGUGUUGAAAGAGUCGUGCAGCUCACUGCUGUCGUUCAACCAUUUAUUUGUUCAAAAUCAUUGUAUUCUACUGAAUGUGCCAUCAAAAUGAAACAGGAUUCAUCAUAAUGGUCUGCUGUUUGUAUUGGACUUGCUAGAUCGCCAAUCCCAGCCAUGCCCCGAUUUUGAGUGUUCUUCAUAUCAGGUUUCUAACACAUUGGUAUGACAGAUUUGAUGAGAAGUCAUAUUUUUAAGAAAAUGGACAAGGGCCAUACAGUCAACAAGGUUCCUUGUUUGCUAACCCGUUGGCUGCUACCCUUCAAUCUCCCUGUUUACUUCCUUACACAGGUCCUAUUGAUUUGAGGGUAACUCUUUCACUACUGAUGACAUCAACUGUUGUAAACUGACGAGAGAAUGCUGCAAUUCAAGACUGAUACGUUGUGUAGUUGUUAGAUAAAUGACAAGUGCAUAUCUGGGCUCCCUUCUUUUCUGUGGCCCCGUUUCCCUAACUAACCAC